Molecule: ribosomal RNA, 584 nt
Filed under: Thraustochytriidae sp. ANACC TC_019
Lineage: Eukaryota; Bigyra; Thraustochytrida; Thraustochytriidae
Description: bacterial SSU rRNA
Rfam family: Eukaryotic small subunit ribosomal RNA
Source: RNAcentral
AUCCAGGAUGCAGCAGGCGCGUAAAUUACCCAAUGUGGACUCCACGAGGUAGUGACGAGAAAUAUCAAUGCGGGGCGCUUCGCGUCUUGCUAUUGGAAUGAGAGCAAUGUAAAACCCUCAUCGAGGAUCAACUGGAGGGCAAGUCUGGUGCCAGCAGCCGCGGUAAUUCCAGCUCCAGAAGCGUAUGCUAAAGUUGUUGCAGUUAAAAAGCUCGUAGUUGAAUUUCUGGUGUGGGAGCCCAGGCCUCGGUGCGAAUGCGCCUUGUCUUGCCUUGCGGCUCCUUUGCCAUCCUCGUUUUUCUUUUGAAAAACGUCAUUCACUGUAAUCAAAGCAGAGUGUUCCAAGCGGGCCGUAGGGCCGGUAUGUUUAUUAUGGGAUGAUCAGAUAAGACUCGGGUGCUAUUUUGUUGGUUUGCACAUCUGAGUAAUGAUUAAUAAGAACAGUCGGGGGUAUCCGUAUUUAAGAGCUAGAGGUGAAAUUCUUGGAUUUCCGAAAGACGAACUACAGCGAAGGCAUUUACCAAGCAUGUUUUCAUUAAUCAAGAACGAAAGUCUGGGGAUCGAAGAUGAUUAGAUACNUCCNUA